GACGAACGCUGGCGGCGUGCUUAACACAUGCAAGUCGAACGGAAAGGCCCUGCUUUUGUGGGGUGCUCGAGUGGCGAACGGGUGAGUAACACGUGAGUAACCUGCCCUUGACUUUGGGAUAACUUCAGGAAACUGGGGCUAAUACCGGAUAGGAGCUCCUGCUGCAUGGUGGGGGUUGGAAAGUUUCGGCGGUUGGGGCUGGACUCGCGGCUUAUCAGCUUGUUGGUGGGGUAGUGGCUUACCAAGGCUUUGACGGGUAGCCGGCCUGAGAGGGUGACCGGCCACAUGGGGACUGAGAUACGGCCCAGACGCCUACGGGAGGCAGCAGUGGGGAGUAUUGCACAAUGGGCGGAAGCCUGAUGCAGCAACGCCGCGUGCGGGAUGACGGCCUUCGGGUUGUAAACCGCUUUCGCCUGUGGCGAAGCGUGAGUGACGGUAAUGGGUAAAGAAGCACCGGCUAACUACGUG
Molecule: ribosomal RNA, 468 nt
Filed under: uncultured bacterium
Lineage: Bacteria
Description: partial 16S ribosomal RNA
Rfam family: Bacterial small subunit ribosomal RNA
Source: RNAcentral